This 43-nucleotide non-coding RNA is filed under the name unclassified sequences. The record is from RNAcentral.
UGGGGACCGCGAUCUCCCCACGAGGCGCAAGCUGAAGCAUCGC